This 450-nucleotide ribosomal RNA is filed under the name uncultured bacterium. RNAcentral's name for it is "partial 16S ribosomal RNA". It matches the Rfam family "Bacterial small subunit ribosomal RNA", at positions 30 to 507 of the family's 1533-position model. The record is from RNAcentral.
CCUGAACGCUGUCGGCGUGACUAAGACAUGCAAGUCGUACGGGCGUAGCAAUACGUCAGUGGCGCACGGGUGAGUAAGGCAUCGCUAAUCUGCCCCGGGGCCUGGGAUAGCCAGCCGAAAGGUUGGGUAAUACCAGAUGAGACCACGAACCGGCAUCGGUUUGUGCUCAAGGUUCGCCGCCCUGGGAUGAGGCGAUGUGGUAUCAGCUAGUUGGUGGGGUAACGGCCCACCAAGGCUUCGACGCCUAGCCGGACUGAGAGGUCGGCCGGCCACAUCGGGACUGAGACACUGCCCGGACUCCUACGGGGGGCUGCAGUAAUGAAUCUUCCGCAAUGCACGAAAGUGUGACGGAGCGACGCCGAGUGAAGGAUGAAGUCCCUCGGGAUGUAAACUUCUAAAACCUGUUAGAAAGUUCUGAUCGACAGGCUAUAAGUGGCGACUAACUCUGUG